CUGUUGUCAGUGACUUAUAAAGGCUGAACAAAGGAUCAGUGCAAUCAGAUUAGUUAAAAUACUUACAAAUAGGAUGGGAUUGACUUUCAUUGUGAUUAUUCUGCUGGUGAAUCUAAUUUCAUACACUUUUGAAGAAGACUCAGUGACAUCCUUAUAUCCUUCACAAAAUGCAAAAACUGGGGGAAAAGCACAAAUUACAUGCAAGUACAUUGCUGACAAGAGCUAUGCUAUUUAUCUGCAAUGGUACAUACAGAAAGGAGACCAAAGAAUAGAAUACUUACUUCAGACUAAUCAAAAUCCUGGUGAGAAGAACAUCAAACAAAGCAAGCAUUUAGUAGAUAAUAGAAUUGUUGCCAUUAUGAACCCAGAAAAUUCUACGGCUUACCUUUCAAUAAAUGACGUUGACUUGCAUGACUCUGCAACCUACUUUUGUGCUUUGAGUACCACAGUUAACAAUGUAGAGAUGUGCUAGUGCAAAAACUUUGUUUAGAAUCAAAUUGGCGGAA
Molecule: non-coding RNA, 506 nt
Organism: Erpetoichthys calabaricus (reedfish)
Lineage: Eukaryota; Metazoa; Chordata; Cladistia; Polypteriformes; Polypteridae
Source: the annotation of a RefSeq genome assembly